This is a transfer RNA of Ipomoea nil (Japanese morning glory), 72 nucleotides long. It matches the Rfam family "tRNA". From Rfam's summary of the family: Transfer RNA (tRNA) molecules are approximately 80 nucleotides in length. Their secondary structure includes four short double-helical elements and three loops (D, anti-codon, and T loops). Further hydrogen bonds mediate the characteristic L-shaped molecular structure. tRNAs have two regions of fundamental functional importance: the anti-codon, which is responsible for specific mRNA codon recognition, and the 3' end, to which the tRNAs corresponding amino acid is attached (by aminoacyl-tRNA synthetases). tRNAs cope with the degeneracy of the genetic code in two manners: having more than one tRNA (with a specific anti-codon) for a particular amino acid; and 'wobble' base-pairing, i.e. permitting non-standard base-pairing at the 3rd anti-codon position. The record is from Rfam. NCBI's taxonomy places the organism in Eukaryota, Viridiplantae, Streptophyta, Magnoliopsida, Solanales, Convolvulaceae.
GGGUGUUUGGUCUAGUGGUAUGAUUCUUGCUUUGGGUGCAAGAGGUCAUGAGUUCAACUCUCACAACACCCC